ACGGGAUUAUUAUGGAGAUGAUGAUUGAUCCAGAUAGACCAGUGCAUGAAUUGCUUCCUUCAGACUGAUGAGUCUCGAAUUUGUGAUGUAGUGAUACUGGAGUGAGAGUGCAGGUGGUUGUCAGAGAAUAACUAGCACUGAGCGUGACCAACACGAGAAGUCACAUGGAUGUCUGCUCACUCGUUAGUGACUUCCUCGAUACUGCAGUGAUGUGACUGGUCCUUUGAUCUACAGUGCUACAACUACUCGCAGUGUGGCUGUUGGAGUUUGACUACA
RNAcentral lists this long non-coding RNA (276 nucleotides) under Elaeis guineensis (African oil palm). RNAcentral describes it as "long non-coding RNA (EGUI_LNC073733)". The record is from RNAcentral. Lineage: Eukaryota; Viridiplantae; Streptophyta; Magnoliopsida; Arecales; Arecaceae.